Molecule: long non-coding RNA, 2054 nt
Filed under: Pelobates cultripes (western spadefoot toad)
Lineage: Eukaryota; Metazoa; Chordata; Amphibia; Anura; Pelobatidae
Source: RNAcentral
CUAGUGACUAGAAAUAAUACUGUUACUGGUUAUUUACUAAAUUUGAAGUGAAUGUAAGUUCAAAAUAUCUAAACUGGAAACAUUCUCUGAGACAGCUAUGCUUUCACUUCGACUACCUUGGCCUUAAAUUUGAAAAAUCACUUUGGUAAUUUCCAAGUAUAAGAUCUGAAGUGCAGGCAAAACUGUAGCCUGCAGAUGGCGCUCAGGCAGCACGUACAAGAAUCAAAUUAAUGACUGCUUAGUAUUAUUAGAAAACCUUAAACUAACCUUUUAUGAUCACUUUGGUAAGAGUUCUAACAAAAGUGGAUUUUUUCUAUACAUUGUGAUUACAAAACGGCUAGAAAUUAUAUAGAUUAAAAAAAAAGUAUUUCUUAUCUCUUCAGGUCCUCCGUUAAACUGACAAAAUAGAAAAACUGUAAAACUGUUCAACACAAGAGAAUGUAUUUUUAUUAUUUUAUUAUUUACAUAGCGCCAUCAGAUGCCGUAGCGCUGUACAAUGUAUGCUCUUUUUCCAGCCCAUGCUGAUUAUGGUAUCACACAAUGCAUAUUUAGUUACAUAUGACAAAUGCAGCAUUUGUGACACGCCAAUGCAUUGCAAUGGUCAUCACGACACAAGUAAAUCUUUUUAUCUGUACAUUUGCUGAAAAUUUUACUUGGAAAGAGUUAAGUACAGGCUGAUGUAAUGAUACUUACCUAGGGGACAUGUCUCGAGUCCCCAUAAGUAAUCCGAAAGCCAAAUGAAGAACGUCUCCAUCUGGCAGUUGGGAAAGGAUGCAUAAAUAUCCAAAUAGAAAGGUGAAAUCAUCUAACUGCACAUAACUUAUUAAUGGCCAUUGAAGGGACUAUCAGGUCCCGAACACCCUAGCGACGCCUAAGGAGACCCCCUGUCUUGGGCAGCAGAUACAGGUGGACACACCUGGAAGAUCGUAUUGGGAAAUAUCAUGAUCCUGUAGAAGCACACAGAGGAGUCUUUUUUACUCAUGCAGACCUGGAUAAGCCACAGCUUCUGAUUACUUCAUCCUCUACAGGACAGAUAUCAGCCAGAAUAUUGGUGAGAUCUAUCCAAACAUUAUUUUGAUGGGAGAUACAUAACUGCCAAUUGGUGGGACUGUAAAUAUUAAUAUUUUUUCUAAUUUUUUUCACUUUUUCUUUUUGUUUUUGUUUUUUACAUAUUGUGUAUUUUUAAAUUUUUCUCUUUUGCAUUUUUUCACGGAUGGAUAUAUAUUUGGUCUCCCUGCCAGAAAGAAUAUCUGAUCCUGAUUGUAUAGAGGGUUCUCAACUAAACAGUGCAAACAGGCACUAGUACUACUGACAUUGUCGGACUUUAUUGGGCUAUAUUUAUUUUGUGCUAGGUGUAUCAAAGAUAACCACAAUGGUUAUGGUAGAAUGAGGUGUAUAUAACCUGUUGUAGAAAUUACAUUGUUUUAAGUGAUUUAUCUCACUUUAUGAUAAUAGUGCACUGUAUAGUAUUGUUAUUCUCUACGUGACAUUUUGCUAAUACAUGCACUUUAAAAGUUUUUUUAAGCACUUUAUGAUUACAGUGCACUUUACAGUAUUAUAAUUUUUUUUGUUAUAUAUAUCUAAAUAUAUACUACUGGAUGUUUCUAGGUCCCAAUGUUUAUAUUUUGUAGUGGACUAUUUAAGAUCCGGACGUUCUCCAAGUUCCAGAUCAUGGGACUGAAGAGGAAUAACUCAUUGACAUCACUAGAACGCAUGUGUGAAAUCGGGUGGAAUGCAAAAGGAUAUGAUGUUCCUGAAACGCAUUGAAGUGUGUCUUGCAACGCUUACACGAAUGGACACAGCAUUAGGACAUUGACGCUAACCACUUGUAGGUGGAGGCGAAGGAGGAAACCGAUUGGGACAGUGCAAUUGGUUAAUGAAGGAAUAAAUCCCCGGAGAGUAGACGCGACGCCCAUUUAACCACCAAUGGCCUUAUGGGAUGGUCUUAUAUAAUGGGAACGUUUGCGGGGGAGGAAAUCAGGCUGCAUUUGAUUGUGUUUUAUUAAGAAAUGUCCCUGAAAAAGUUCUUGAAUAAGAAAAUGCUUAGGACUGGG